Molecule: non-coding RNA, 4003 nt
Organism: Oryza sativa Japonica Group (Japanese rice)
Lineage: Eukaryota; Viridiplantae; Streptophyta; Magnoliopsida; Poales; Poaceae
Source: RefSeq, a predicted model, not a curated record
GCUCCACCGAUUCCAACGAUUAUAGCGACCUUAUCCUCUCCACCGUCCACGCGCGAUUACUCCGCAUGCGCCAUCUCUGCCGCGCACCUCGCCUCCGCCGCAUUCAAUCCGUCGCGCAUCAUCGCCACAACGACAAAUCCUCAUAUCCGACGCUCUCUCCCAAGCGUCGUCGCUGCUACCUCCACUCCGCCUCGGUCCUCCUCGCCUCCUCGCUCCUCCCUGCGUGGCGCCGCUCCGCCGUCGUCCCCUUGCUUCGCUCCCCCUCUCCUCCUCCUCGCCUCCUCACUCCUCCUCGCGUGGCGCACGCCGCCGUCGUCCCCUUCCGCCGCCGCCCAGACGCCGCCGUCGUACCCUUCCACCGCUGCCCGGACGCCGCCGCCCAUACGUUGCCAUCGUCCCCUUCCACAGCCGGAGCCGCGGUCUUCCCCAUCGGCCACACAAAUCGCGCCAUGGCAACUCACAAAAUUCCCCACGCGUGGACCACCAAGGCUCCAUCGCGCUAAUCCCGCGGUGGCUCCCCUAAUCAUGAUAACGCCGUCGCCGCGCCUUUGAACGCUGCUGCACCAUCCGUCAUCAUCCGCACUUCCGCCGCCGUCGUCACCGCAAUCAGUAUCCUGGUGGUCCAGGGUUUCCACCAGUGCCGCUACCCCGUCUCGCCCUGGUUGUGCAUACUCCCACCAGCGUCGCAGCUCCGUCGUCGCCCUGCAAUCGGUGCCUCAGUGGUCCAGGGCUCCGCUGGCGAUGCCACCCCGUCGAGCCACGGUGGUCAAGCCUUCCGCCGACACUGAGCCUCCAUCUUUGUCGCUGCUCUGUGAGUCCUCUAGUGUUGCCGCCAUUGGAAGGGGAUAGACUCAGCAGCUAGGCCUCCCAGCCGUGUGCCUCCCUCUCUUAUGUUGGUGAUACCUGAUUCAACUCAAAUCGACUCUUUUCAAUCCCCAUUUUUCCUCUUUGUGAAUUUUCCCCAUUAGUUCUCUAGCUGAAUUUUCUUAUUCAAGCUUAAUGGUAUGCAUCUCCUUUUAGUUAUGUUAUUCGGUUCUUCUUUACCUUUGUGGAUAAUUGCAGGCUAUAUAUUACGUGAUUGGUGCUGCAGUUUCAUACAUACUAACAUUAUAGUUGUCAUGUUGAAUAUCUUGCAGAUUGUCUUACAGAGAGCAAAUUCAACCAUGCCUAGUCUCUUAUCUUUUUUAUUUAGUCGAAAAAUAACAGUUCCUUUCUUACUGAAAUGGAAAAUGCACGAAACCCUACACUGCAAUUUUCUGCAAUGACAGGGUGACAUUGCUUCUUAGCCAAUUGGAGCACAAAAGAAAAUCCAAUAAACAGGAAAACAUGAUUUAGUAUUGGACAUCAUUUCUGAAAGCUUUUGCACUUAAGAAAUGCAAAUGGACAAGAAUAAGAGCUUCCUCGGGUGGUUGGUAGCAGAACAAGAUAGUAUAAGUUUUCAAGUGGAUAGAACUAAAGCAAAGCUAAGAAUUAAACAUGUGUAAUGGAAGUAUCAGGAAUUCAGAAUGGUAGUUGGCGCAUAUGGAAUGGAUUUGAUGACUGAAAAUUGUGUACCCUGUGAAGAAUUCAUUGCUGGUUUUAAGUUUUAACUUCAUACCGUUAUCAUUUCAAGGAAAGAAGGUCUUGCAAUCGAUCUUCUGAAGAGCUGAGAAAGGUACAGCUUAAAACCAUUAUUUGUUCUAUAGUGAAGUUGAUGUGUGUAUACUAAAUAACAUCGUCAGAAUGAGCAAACGCUAUAAACGAAAAUCAACCUUCAAAUAUAAUAUGUAUAAGCUUUAAAUGUUAAUGGCCACUUAUGCAAAAUGCACUAGGUAAUGUUGUUCUUCAUUUUCAGGAGCGAUUUGUAAAUUAGGUUAAUGAAACAAAAUAUUCCACGUUUUGCCCAAUUUCUAUAAAUUUGAGUACCUGAAUUCACUCACACCAAAUGGAUUGCCACAUCUUUUAAAGGUCAAAUUUAAUUGUCUUGUCAUAUUGCUGCGCAAUCUCGACCCGCACAACGGGUUGUGCAAUGGAACUAGGCUUAUGAUUAGAGCAUUUCAGAAUUAUUCCAUUAGUGCUGAGAUUGUCAGUGGUGCACAUGCUGGGAAGAGGGUCUUCAUACCACGGAUUCCAUUAUACCCCUCGGAGGAUCUUUCAUUGCCUUUUAAGUUCAAGCGGAAGCAGUUUUCCAUCCGUCUUAGUUUUGCAAUGACUAUCAACAAAGCUCAAGGACAGACAAUCCCAAAUGUGGCAAUCUAUCUCCCUGAACCUGUUUUCUCUCAUGGUCAACUCUACGUUGCACUCUCUAGGGGUGUCUCGAGGGGAACAACCAGAAUUUUGGCCAAGCCAAGGAUAGACAUUGACCCCACUGGAAAAAGCACAAAGAACAUUGUAUAUCGAGAUGUUUUAUUCUGAACAGAUUGUCUAAGGUUGAUUAGAGAGUACCAUGUUCAGAUUCUUCUGAAGGCCCAGUUCUUUAUAUUAUUCAUUGGACUGUUGAGCUUGGUUGUUUCUGGAGGACCAGGUUGCAUGGAUGGUAGAAUGUGGUUGCAUUGAGAGUACUAUGUUCAGAUUCUUCUGCUGGCCCUGUUCUUUAUUUUUUUUUUUUCACUGGACUAUUGAACCUGGUUGUUUCUGGAGGACUACGGAGCAUGGCUGGAGUAUCAUAUUGUUUGCACCAAGUGUUCGAUGAUAUCUAGAAUAUCAUAUUGUUUACACCAAGUGUUCGAUGAUAUCUGGAGGAUAACCUGAUGUGGAUUAUGAGCUUGGCUUUGUCUUGACAAAUAAUAGAUGAGUUGAUGCUUGUAAGAGAGGUCUCGAUGAUCUGCUAAUUGCCACUGUUUAGUUACAUGGGGUGAAAUAAUUUUGUGCAAACAUAACUGAUGUAUAUGACAAUACGUCUCUGAUUUGGAUCUUGUAAACUUAUUUGAUUUGGGAAGGACUGCAACACUUGAAAUUUUUAUUGGAAGGACAAUUCAGAAACAUAAUUGGGAACAUUUGCUAUAUUAUUUUAUGAUCUUAUCCUGGGUUGUACCUGAACUUAAUAUUCUGACAUGCCGGUUAAUUUCUGAGUUCAUUUGCUGAACUUGCUGACUAAUUUUAACCGGUGAUGUGCCUGAAGUUUAUAUUGUGACAUAUUGGUUUAUUUCUGAGUUCAAUUUCUGUACUUGCGGACCAAUUUAUAUCACUCACAUUGGCAUGUUGUUGUUGUUUUCUCCAGGACUCCAAGUGGUCUCAUUAGCUAAUGAUGGUAAAUAAUGCUAUAAUUUGAGGGCAACAUUAUGUAUUCUAUAGUGAUGUUGUGUUCUACGUGGACAUGAAUACAAAAGAGCAUGCUACUCAGAAAUCAGGCUAGAGUUCAAAUGAUGAUUUUCAUGAUCUAUAAAACAUUUACUUUUUAUUCUUAAAAAGUGCACUACAUAGAUAAGUUAUAUUUAUUAUUCUAUCUUUUAUGUAUAUAAUACUAAAACGUGCCUUGCACGUGCACGAUAACUAGUACUAAUAUAAAAAGGAGGAGUUGCCUCCUUGCAAUCCUACGGGUGAAAUCAAGGAAAACCAGGGCCCACGCACAAACACGUCGAAUCCCCAUCCCAUCACCACGGAUUCCUCUGCCGUCCCCGCCGCCGCUAACCCCGUCGCCCCACUCCCUCUAUCACCGCAUCCGCAUGUCGCUUCCUCCUCAAUCACUCUGACGAUAGCUUCCUCUUCCUCUUGAUCUCGCCCUCGAUGACGCGCCACCUACACACGAUUUCGCCUUCAACAAAUUCACUCGGCCUCUUCCUCUGCUCGAUCUCGCUGGCUGUCUCCUUCACCGCCACGAAGCCUUGCCGCCCGCCUCCAUCGUUCUCCUGUGUCGCCAUCACCAGCAAGACCUCGCACCGCCGCCGUUGUGACCCUCGAUCCACGCCGAGCUUCCGCCUCCAAGGCCACAGCGAUCUCUUCUUCAGUUCUCAACUUACUACUGGGUGAAAGAUUUGCCUCCUCUGUGUACUAGCCUCAUUCUCCUCAGGUUGCGUAGAGUAAG